AAUGAACGCUGGCGGUAUGCCUAACACAUGCAAGUCGAACGGGAGCACAGGAACUGCUUGCUCUUACGGGUGUCGCGUGGCGGACGGGUGCGUUAUGCAUCGGAAUCUACUUUUUCGGGGGUGCUAACGUAGGGAAACGUACGCUAAUACCGCAUACGACCUACUGGUGAAAGCAGGGGAUCUUUUGACCUGUUGCGAGUGUAUGAGCCGAUGUCGGAUUGGAUAGUUGGCUGGGCAAAGGCUAACCAAGGCGACGAUGCGUAGCUGGUCUGAGAGGAUGCUCAGCCACACUGGAACUGGGAGACGGUCCAGCACACUGCGAGAGGGAGAAGUCGGGAAUAUUGGACAAUGGGCGCAAGCCUGAUCAAGCCAUAACGCGCGGGAGACGAAGGCAGCAGGGUUGCAAAGCUGUUUUGUUGGGAAAGAAAGGAAGCAGGUUAAACCCCCGAUGAUAUGAAGGUACCCAAAGAAUAAGCCCCGGCUAACUUCGUG
Molecule: ribosomal RNA, 492 nt
Filed under: uncultured bacterium
Lineage: Bacteria
Description: partial 16S ribosomal RNA
Rfam family: Bacterial small subunit ribosomal RNA
Source: RNAcentral